Molecule: ribosomal RNA, 426 nt
Filed under: Odontotermes mathuri
Lineage: Eukaryota; Metazoa; Arthropoda; Insecta; Blattodea; Termitidae
Description: partial 12S ribosomal RNA
Source: RNAcentral
GGUUUACCGCAUAAACUAGGAUUAGAUACCCUAUUAUUUUGAGUGUUAAUGUUUUUGCCUGAGUAGUAUUAGUUGUGUUCUUGAAACUUAAAGAAUUUGGCGGUAUCCUAUUCCGUUCAGAGGAAUCUGUCUCGUUAUCGAUAGUCCGCGUUGGACCUUACUUAGAGUUAUAUUUUUGGUUUGUAUACCGCCGUUUAUUGAUUAUCUUUUUAGAGUUCCUUAAUUUUCUGGUUUCUUUAAUUUGAUUUAUUGCAGGUCAAGGUGCAGCUUUUUCUAAGUGUAAUGAUGGAUUACAGUGUUAUGUGUUGUUUGGAUUGUUUAUUUUAAUAUUGACAUGAAAUUGGAUUUGGUUGUAAUGUCUUGUAGAUUGUUUUCAUGAUAGUUGGUUCUAGGAUAUGUACACAUCGCCCGUCGCUCUCCAAUACG